Molecule: long non-coding RNA, 323 nt
Organism: Vidua macroura (Pin-tailed whydah)
Lineage: Eukaryota; Metazoa; Chordata; Aves; Passeriformes; Viduidae
Exons: 3
Source: RefSeq, a predicted model, not a curated record
AGCGGCGAAGCAUCCCCUUGGUGAGGACGACGGUGCCAGGAGCAGCACGGAGAGUGAGAUAGCAUCCCCCGGAGGGUACGGAUCCCCACGGAGAGCGGCGGAGCAUCCCCGGGGUGAGAAAGGAAGACACGGACAGAGCAUCCCCCGGGGCAGCAAGCACCGAGAGCGGCCGAGCACCGCCCCGGAGCGAGGAACACGGAACCGGGAGCACCACGGGGACCCAUGGAGCAUCCCCCCGGGGCAGCGGUGAAGAGGGUGCGGGGAUCGGGCGGGAGGAGCACGGACACCCACCGCAUCAUCCCCCACAGGGUAGGAAUCCCCAC